RNAcentral lists this ribosomal RNA (158 nucleotides) under Rhodotorula glutinis. RNAcentral describes it as "5.8S ribosomal RNA". It matches the Rfam family "5.8S ribosomal RNA". From Rfam's summary of the family: 5.8S ribosomal RNA (5.8S rRNA) is a component of the large subunit of the eukaryotic ribosome. It is transcribed by RNA polymerase I as part of the 45S precursor that also contains 18S and 28S rRNA. The record is from RNAcentral. Lineage: Eukaryota; Fungi; Basidiomycota; Microbotryomycetes; Sporidiobolales; Sporidiobolaceae.
AACUUUCAACAACGGAUCUCUUGGCUCUCGCAUCGAUGAAGAACGCAGCGAAAUGCGAUACGUAAUGUGAAUUGCAGAAUUCAGUGAAUCAUCGAAUCUUUGAACGCACCUUGCGCUCCUUGGUAUUCCGAGGAGCAUGCCUGUUUGAGUGUCAUGAA